Molecule: long non-coding RNA, 450 nt
Organism: Dermacentor andersoni
Lineage: Eukaryota; Metazoa; Arthropoda; Arachnida; Ixodida; Ixodidae
Source: RefSeq, a predicted model, not a curated record
UUCGUGAUGACCUUGGAAAAGACGCGGCGUCAAAUAGAGUGGUACAAACAAAGACCCGUGACUUUCUUCGAGCGAGCGGCGGGUGGAGAGGGGAACGAGCGGUGCGCGCAGACAGACAAGCAGGUGUUGCGUCGCUGAUGUCAAGUGGGGCAGCGGCGGUCGUGGCGGAAGUUCACUGCGAAGGGACAGAGACGGCGAUGGUGGACGCUCGCCCGGGGCCUAGCGGAUUCCGCGGUAGGCCCCGGAUGCUCGCCAAGCUUGAAACAAGCAUGCAGGGUACAGGUGCACUCACUUGAAGACGACCCUCCACCUUGGUGAUAAGCAGUGGUUGAAAUGAAAGGAAACUAUCGCAUCUGUAACCAGAGGGAUAUUAUUUUUUUUCCCUUUCAUUUACCUCCUUCCACAUUCAAGGAAGCAUUUAUGUGCCCAAUAAAUGUUUUUGCUAACUUU